Molecule: transfer RNA, 73 nt
Filed under: Spirochaetes bacterium RBG_16_49_21
Lineage: Bacteria; Pseudomonadati; Spirochaetota
Also listed under: 3 other names
Description: tRNA-Phe
Rfam family: tRNA
About the family: Transfer RNA (tRNA) molecules are approximately 80 nucleotides in length. Their secondary structure includes four short double-helical elements and three loops (D, anti-codon, and T loops).
Source: RNAcentral
GGUCAGGUAGCUCAGUCGGUAGAGCAGCGGACUGAAAAUCCGCGUGUCGACGGUUCGAUUCCGCCCCUGACCA